RNAcentral lists this transfer RNA (89 nucleotides) under Bacteroidales bacterium. RNAcentral describes it as "tRNA-Ser". It matches the Rfam family "tRNA". From Rfam's summary of the family: Transfer RNA (tRNA) molecules are approximately 80 nucleotides in length. Their secondary structure includes four short double-helical elements and three loops (D, anti-codon, and T loops). Further hydrogen bonds mediate the characteristic L-shaped molecular structure. tRNAs have two regions of fundamental functional importance: the anti-codon, which is responsible for specific mRNA codon recognition, and the 3' end, to which the tRNAs corresponding amino acid is attached (by aminoacyl-tRNA synthetases). tRNAs cope with the degeneracy of the genetic code in two manners: having more than one tRNA (with a specific anti-codon) for a particular amino acid; and 'wobble' base-pairing, i.e. permitting non-standard base-pairing at the 3rd anti-codon position. The record is from RNAcentral. Lineage: Bacteria; Pseudomonadati; Bacteroidota; Bacteroidia; Bacteroidales.
GGAGGAGUGGCAGAGUUGGUUUAUUGCACUGGACUUGAAAUCCAGCGUGGGUAAAACCACCGUGGGUUCGAAUCCUACCUCCUCCGCCA